UACAGAGGUCUCAAGCGUUGUUCGGAUUCAUUGGGCGUAAAGGGUGUGUAGGUGGCGCUGUAAGUUGGGUGUGAAAUUUCGGAGCUUAACUCCGAAACUGCAUUCGAUACUGCGGUGCUUGAGGACUGGAGAGGAGACUGGAAUUCAUGGUGUAGCAGUGAAAUGCGUAGAGAUCAUGAGGAAGACCAGUGGCGAAGGCGGGUCUCUGGACAGUUCCUGACGCUGAGGCACGAAGGCCAGGGGAGCAAACGGG
RNAcentral lists this ribosomal RNA (253 nucleotides) under uncultured bacterium. RNAcentral's name for it is "partial 16S ribosomal RNA". It matches the Rfam family "Bacterial small subunit ribosomal RNA", at positions 524 to 776 of the family's 1533-position model. The record is from RNAcentral.